Molecule: ribosomal RNA, 587 nt
Filed under: uncultured bacterium
Lineage: Bacteria
Description: bacterial SSU rRNA
Rfam family: Bacterial small subunit ribosomal RNA
Source: RNAcentral
CCUACGGGAGGCAGCAGUGGGGAAUCUUGCGCAAUGCGCGAAAGCGUGACGCAGCGACGCCGCGUGGGUGAAGAAGGCUUUCGGGUCGUAAAGCCCUUUCAGCGGGGACGAAGCUUCGGCAGCGAAUAGCUGUCCGGAGUGACGGUACCUGCAGAAGAAGCCCCGGCUAACUACGUGCCAGCAGCCGCGGUAAUACGUAGGGGGCUAGCGUUGUCCGGAAUCAUUGGGCGUAAAGAGCGCGUAGGCUGCCAGAUAAGUCCGGUGUGAAAGUCACAGGCUCAACCUGUGAAUGCCGCUGGAAACUGUCUGGCUAGAGUCCGGAAGGGGCGAGUGGAAUUCCUGGUGUAGCGGUGAAAUGCGCAGAUAUCAGGAGGAACACCAAUGGCGAAGGCAGCUCGCUGGGACGGUACUGACGCUGAGGCGCGAAAGCGUGGGGAGCAAACAGGAUUAGAUACCCUGGUAGUCCACGCCGUAAACGAUGGGCACUAGGUGUCGGAGGUGUCGACUCCUCCGGUGCCAAAGCUAACGCAUUAAGUGCCCCGCCUGGGGAGUACGGCCGCAAGGCUAAAACUCAAAGGAAUUGACGG